RNAcentral lists this unclassified non-coding RNA (348 nucleotides) under soil metagenome. RNAcentral's name for it is "partial contains 5.8S ribosomal RNA, internal transcribed spacer 2, and large subunit ribosomal RNA". The stretch from base 1 to 120 matches the Rfam family "5.8S ribosomal RNA", at positions 35 to 154 of the family's 154-position model. The record is from RNAcentral.
GAUGAAGAACGCAGCGAAAUACGAUAAGUAAUGUGAAUUGCAGAAUUCAGUGAAUCAUCGAAUCUUUGAACGCACAUUGCGCCCGCCAGUAUUCUGGCGGGCAUGCCUGUCUGAGCGUCAUUUCAACCCUCAUGCCCCUAGGGCGUGGUGUUGGGGAUCGGCCAAAGCCCGCGAGGGACGGCCGGCCCCUAAAUCUAGUGGCGGACCCGUCGUGGCCUCCUCUGCGAAGUAGUGAUAUUCCGCAUCGGAGAGCGAUGAGCCCCUGCCGUUAAACCCCCAACUUUCCAAGGUUGACCUCAGAUCAGGUAGGAAUACCCGCUGAACUUAAGCAUAUCAAUAAGCGGAGGA